AUAAUAUGUCUGUAAAGUUUACAUAGACAAACAUAAUUUUAGGAAGGCUUCAACAGUAGAGUCAUAUGUAUACAAAAGUCUAUAGACCAAAAGUGAUGAAGUCUUUCUUGCAUAGACACACAGUUCUAGGAAGGCUCCAACAUCAGAUUCAUAUGUACACAAAAGUCUUAUGAUCAAAAGUGAUGGAGUCUCUCCUAUUCUUGCCCAAAAUAAAAAAAACUAAUACAUGUAUACAAAUGAGAGGAGUAUGUUAGUCUAGACAGCAUCAAAGAGCUCAAUGCAAUAUUAUGAUCAUAAAUUAAAUAAUAUUCUUUCAAAAAAAGAGAAACAAUUACACAUAACAUGUUUAUUUUAUCUUCCCCUCUGAUCACGGCAAGCAGGUACUAAGUUUAUUAACACAACAAGCCAUGUUCUCUCCAAGAUUUCAAGUUACAAAAAAACUUAAUUGAAAAUUUAAAGUGCUUUUCGAAUAAUGUAUAUCAAGAGGCUAACAAUUUAACACAGUGAGGAAAGAGCAGUACACAAGCAUGUUUAUUAAGAACACUGGCAACUGUAUUUAGGUAAUGUUUGAAGAAAAGUGCUGCACUACUGUUAUCCUCCAUCCAGCUGUCAUCCUAUAUACAAAGACUUUAGUAAAUGAUGUGGUCUACUCUAUAUUCUGAUGUAAUCACGUAAAAGAAUCAAUUUAUGGUUCGUUUAUCCAGUAAAUAACUCAGUUGUUUUCAACCAGACAUAAUACUGAUUUGGUUUUCCAUAAUUUGCCUAGCCGAGCGGAUUUGGGAGACACCAUUGCAUAACAAACAUAUAUUGUCAGAUUUUGAAAGUUGAAAAUUUAUUAGCUGAUUUUGAUUGUUUGGUAAGCAAAACAAUUUAGCAUUCCGUAUAUCAAAUUGUAAAGCCAAAAUUAAAAGUAAGUUUGGUCCAAAGCAUUUAAAUAGAAAUCAUGUAUUCUGUUUAUGUAUUUAUUUUGUAUUAUUCCUUUUUCUGUCAAAGUGUAAAGUAUAUUUUCUUUAAUGAAAUAUGAGUAUGAAACUGUUUCUUUUGUGUGUGUGUGUGUGUGAGACCAAAUUGAAUCCAUUACAAAGUAAUCAGCUGUAGAAUUAUUUGUUUAUGAAGAAACAUAGAAGCAUGCUUCAUGACUGGCCAUAAUUAAUUUCGAUUGAGAGAAUACAAAGGGAGUGAGGGAGACAAAUAUUGUUAGGUUACAAAUUUGCAUAUUCAAAAACAAAGAAAAUUUUUGGUCAACUUGAACUUGAUGUUUUUCUUUUUUUGACGCAAUAUGUCGAAAGACAUGAAUAUAGAAUUAAAAAGCAUCAUGUCACAAGAAUCUAAAUAUAUGAGUAUGUUUUCAGACUUUUCUAAGUUAUAUCCAAAACGGCAACGACGAAGCCAUCCACGUCAUCAAAAAAAUUCAGACUAUAGGUCUGGUCAGGCAAGUCCGCGAAAUAUGCAUAUAUGUUUCUAGAUAAAGCUAGAAGUAGCAGCUUCAAUUAUUAGUAAUAUAUUUUUUGGGUUAUGGUUGUUGAUUUCCGGAAACAAAUCAUCAAGAUACUUAAAUUAUGUUUUUUUGUGAGAUACAACGUACUUUUGUUUGUUUUAAUGGGGAAAAAAGGGAAAAAUGAGGGUGUGUGGUUUGUAUACAAAGGAUCUUGAAUGGUGCCACACCUUGAUAUAUUUCAUGAUGAUCUAACUGUCUUCAUUCUUGGAACAUGUAGAAUCUGGCAUCGCAUUGCUAACCUAGGUGUG
This 1746-nucleotide long non-coding RNA is filed under the name Zea mays. RNAcentral's name for it is "long non-coding RNA (ZMAY_LNC000396)". The record is from RNAcentral. Lineage: Eukaryota; Viridiplantae; Streptophyta; Magnoliopsida; Poales; Poaceae.